Lolium perenne is the source of this 5259-nucleotide non-coding RNA. The record is from RefSeq and is a predicted model, not a curated record. NCBI's taxonomy places the organism in Eukaryota, Viridiplantae, Streptophyta, Magnoliopsida, Poales, Poaceae.
UGGGCGGCCGCUCGUCUCCAUAGUUGGUUCACGCGUCAUGUGAGGAUAGGGUGGCUCCAAAAAUAUCUCCUGCAGGCUGGUCGUGGAGGAGAGAGAACCAACCUAAUCCCCUUACCAAAUCCCUUCCGCUCGUGCCGCCCGCAGCAGCCGAAGGUCGACGCCGCCUAGCUCCCUCUCCUCCUCUCCCCUCGCGCCCCCAUCCCGGCAGCCACCUUGCACCACUAGCCCCACCUCAGUAGGAGCAGCCGGAGGUCAGGGUCGGCGCAGAGGAACCGCAGGAGGGCCGGCCGCUGCAUCGAGCCGUUGUGGUUGAGGUUAGCGUGCCGGCGUCGCCGCAAGGGAGCACUGGCUGCCGCUCACGCCACCAUGGAUUCGCCGAUCUAAGCGAUGCCGAAGUCGCCGGCGUCGCCACGAGGGGCACAGGCGGCCGCUCGCCAUGCCGCUUCGUGCUUCUCCUUCCAUCCUCACUCGAUGCGGCGGUUGGAGUUCUGAAGCCUCCAUCUCCGUCUCCUUUUCGUCCCGCACAGCAGCUAGCCAAGCUCUGCAUCAUCCUCCUUCAUCCUCACCCACUUCGUCACUCAGAAGAAAGAAAGAGGACGACUUGCCCUGGCACCACUGCUGACCUCCUCCUCCUCUAUGCUGAACUGGAGGUUACAUGAGGCCAUCGUUGCAGAGGUUGAUGUCGGUAUCGAAUUUGAGGCUGCGCUUCUUAUUCUUGGGUGCUGAACAUGAGAAGCAUGGACUUGGUUCCACCUGACCUGGUAGCAUUUGCACCACUUGCAGUAGGAUGCACAAGCUCUAGGCAAAGCGGCAAGGUUUUCAGGCAUUGGUUUAAGAUUCUCAUGGACAGAGAGGCAAGGAGGUUGUCGCCGGCGUCAAUGCUCCAACAUGAGCCCCUUGACACUGUUGCGCGUGGAACUCAAUGCCGCCAUGCAAAUUAUACCGAUUUUAUUUAGGGACACGCUCAUGUGAGCUAUGCCCUCUUACUCAUGCCAUGAGUUGUCGCUGUUAUCGUCGUCAUCAUCAUGAUGAUCGUACUAUAGGUAUUUGAUUUCUUUACGCUGUGUUACCAACUCCUGUCCGUGCCAGCUUCAAGUGGCUCAAGGUCAAGCUCUCUGAUGUCCGCUAAGCUGUCCACGGUAGCUUUGAGUGGCUCAAGGCCAAGCUCUUUGACGUCUUCUAAGCUAGCCUCUGAACUCUGCUCUCAAUCUCUCCAAUCCUCCAGAGGCUCUCUCUAUACUUAUGUGUACUACUACUGCUACUGCCAAUGAUCACUAAACUGGUGUGUGUAGUACUACUGUUGCUGUACAUGCCGCCAAAGCAUUUCACCACUUGCAGAUUACGAUGGUGGUUCGCCAGAGAACAGACUGGAGCAAGGAUGCCGGUCUGCUGGGGGUGGUGAAGGUUCAGGAGGAGUGCAUCGUCGCCACCUCGUGGAGGAGCGCUAGCAGCUGCUCCGUCGGGAUGAGCGCCUUCACCGUCACCAGAUGGCCAUUCUUGCAUCGACAUGGCUGCACGAGCGUUCGGUCACACGAUCAAGUUUCUUCCCUCUUUCUCUUGCUUAGGCAUCAACACAUAUGCAUAUUUUUUAUUACCUUUUUCUCUGCAAAUCAGUACACGGGAGACACGGAUGCCUUGACAGAACGGCAAGGCUGAGCUGCAACUGCUGUAAAGAAAUAUCAACUUUCAGCUGAUAUGUGGAUUUUUUGAUUUUUAGAUACGGUUGUCUUCAUCUUUCUGCUAUGUCCUGGUUUCCCUAGACUAAUGUACACCAUCGUAGUUUAAUUCUUUUUUAAUUUAUAAUAGCAGUUUUUAGUUUUGUAUCUGGGUCAAUUUGAUUUGAUUCAAAUAGUUACUUCAAAUAACUGCAACAUUGAACUAUUUUGCUUUGAACUGCUGUCUUCUCCUCUGUUAAGUUGGUAAUACCAAACUUGCGUAUCAUUUUGGCUCAUUGGUGUAGCAGGCCAUGGCCCUUUGGUCUAAAAAUUAGGUUCUGAAUAGUGAAGUGACUCAACAUACGUGAAGAUUUCCAGACAUGAACUUCCAGUUUAUCUAAUAAUCUCUUAGCACCCAAAUUCUUCUGCUCUUAAUGAAAUGUUGAUAUAUGAAAGUCAGUUUAGGCACACACAUAUUAAUUUCCAGUUAUUCAUGAUUGCUACUUCCAACCUGUUUCGCAUGCUCCAGUUUAUGGUGAUUCCUAAAUGUCUCUGUUCUCCUUUUUAGGGGUAUGGCAAGAGAUGCAUGGUUACAUAAGGAUAGUGCCCUUCAGAGAUACGGAUAUUCCAACAUGUUGAUAAACAAACUGAAAGUUUCCGGUGACUGUAAUUUUCUAACUUAUAAUUAGAAAGUUAAUGCAUACUGAACCUAUAUUAGAUUUUCCAAUGAUGUACUACGGCCGUCUAUUGUAUGGUCGAUAACUCAUAUUACAUACUGUCUUGGAUCUUUUACUGGUUAUUAGUUGUUGGAUGGUCGAGUUUACCAGUAGAUUUUUGUUUACCUUGAUGUUCUAUUGUCACCAUCUGUUUGACCUUUCUUAUUUGUUUGCUAUCUAUAUUUCCUUACAAACUGAAUGCUCCUGAAACAUCUCUCCCACAUAUGCGACCAUCGGUGUGAACCCCCCAGACCUAGGGAAGGAUGGUGGCAAGAGGAUGGGCCUGAAAUUCGACUGGGUUAAGUGAGCUCCGAUUGUUCCCUUUUUUCAUUUUCGAGUGUAUUUGUUCAGUUAUUAUAUUCACCUGGAUUGUUUUUCUUUUUGGCAUAUUGCUGUGUCUGCUGCACCAACUCCAGAAGUACCAUCUUUUUAGGAGAGAAGUAACAUUGUUUGUCCGUCCCUUUAUGUUAAUCUAUUAUUCAUGGCCAGGCAUUUUAAAGACUAAACCAAAAUAAAUUUGGGGUGAUUCAGCCAUAUGGUCCUUAUCUUUCCAUGAGGUGGUACAUGUGUAUAGUUGGGGAUAUUCACAAGGUAAACAAAAAGAAAGAAAACUGAAACUAUGUGCUGUUGCGCUAUUAUGCUUGUUGAUGUCAACUCUCAAGGAACAUUCACUCAUUUUACCUCCCUACCUUUCUCCCUUGGAGAACCAAAUGACAGAAUAAUAGUAUUAGAUGCUACAAGUGUGCGAAAUGUGCUUCAUAAGUAUUUGCCACGAAUAUGCUUUUUUCUCCCCUUGCCUUGCAAGACCACAUUACAUUAUACAACUGCAUUAACGUCAUGCAACUAUACUUCUGUUCUAUAGGUACUGGCUUUCCAAGUUUCCAUUGGGUUACAACCACUAGAUCCUAUACUUCUGUUCUACCUAUAACACAUAUGUGCCUAUACGUCACCAUCUCACGAUUGUUUGUCUGUGGUUACCAAUUUUGAUAUGGUGGUUGCAUCUGUGCCAUAUCACAUACAUCAGUUCCCCCUCAAGAAUUUGAAAUUUUUGCAAAUGUUUUAUCCAAUACAGAUUGCUUCUAUAGUGCAGGGAUAUUAAAAAGAGCAAGUAGCAGUACAAUGAGUGUCCAGGAUUUUACCUGCUUGCUGGCAUGUCUGUUGUGCUGUCCUGAACUUCUGCUCUUUGGGCUCAUUUGCAGUGUUGCAUUGUUGAUCAAUUCAGAUAAUGGCCAAACCAAGAAUGAUGAUUAUGCUUCACCAUCCUUUGAUGAUCAAAGGUGAGCAUCAUGCAUAUGUAUAUAUUUGUGUCUCUUGAAAAUCAAACCUUGCAUUUUUACUUAAAUUUGUGCCAAUGGUCUCUCUACCCUCUGAGGAUGGAUGUGGCCACUUAAGUUCUUAUAAAUUCAGUUCUUUAUAAUUUGCCACACAUUAGUUAGUCUUUUACAAUUUGUCACACAUUAGACUGGUUCCUUUAUAAUUUGCCCUAUAUCUCCUUUUACAGAUCUAUUUAUUUGUUUAACUCCAAAAUACUUAUGAAAUACAAUACAUUAUACCUGCCUGGACCGAACUUGGUGGAUCGAUCUCCCGAAUCGCUGUAUCCCAAAAUCGAUUGUUUUCCUCCAUCGCACUAGAAACAGAGGAGCCGUCCGCCGGCCACCACGGAUGGCGUGACGACCACGAACGGCGGAGGAGGUGCAGAGCUGCCUCCCGCCGGCCAUACCGACGUUGAGGCUUGCUAGCUUGCAUUGUAUGUCUGCCGAGCUGCACUGGUAGUUCCUUCUAGGGUCGCCUCAGGUGCAGCGUGUUGAAGCUAAUUCAGUGUAAUUGCAACUCACGAAUGAGCUUUCUAUGAGCCUCUUCAUAGAUUUUCUCGGCCACUGAAGAGAAGAGCGGUUGUACUAAGAGGAAGAGAGAACGAAAUUAUCAAGGAAGGAUAAAAAAGGCAACCAGCAAGGAUCAGAUUUAAGAAACGGCAAGGCGGCUGGGAUCUGAUUUCGGAUUGAGUCAUCGACAUGGUAUCCAGUCAUCUGUUGUCAGAUACCAGCGAUUUGGGGAUCGGUCGACGGUUCGGUCUAGGCGGGUACUAUUUCACAGGUAUUUCAGAGUUUUAGAAAAUGAAUGGACGUGUUAAAGGAGGUACAGGGCAAAUUAUAAAGGAAUCCGUUUGAUGUGUGGCAAAUAGUAAAAGGCGAAAUAAUAUGUGGCAAAUUAUAAAGGUUCUAACUAAUGUGUGGCAAAUUAUAAAAUAUCCCAAUGAUCUCUUUGCACUUUGAGGAUGGAUGUGGUUAUCGGCUUUGCUUUUCAAAUAAACAUUAGAUUAAAAAUGAUUGCUUGCAUUUUUACCUAAGAGGACUAUCAAAGAAGGAAGUUUCUUUACAAACAAACGUCCAUUCAAAGUGAUGUUUUCCCACCUAUGUGUUCACUCAUUUUCGUAGAAGACUUACAUGCGAUGAUUUGUUAAGUAUGUCGUAGUGAUAAAAAAAAAUUCACAUGCACAUAGCCUUGCAAUCUUCUUUUGCUCUACAUCUGAACAGAAUCCAUCAGAACUACUUUCCUGAUGACCAGGAUCAAUUUGCUUUUGAAUGUUCGUGCUUCUUGCUGCAUAUGGUGCUCACAUGUUUGUCUAUCAACAAUGGUGAACCUGAUCCGAUCAUCUGACCGUUAUGUGCAAGCUUGACUAAAUUUCGUAGAUUGUACCUAGCAAUUCCAUCAGCUAUGUAUAUAAUACUUAGACAAUAAUAGUAACUCCAAAGUGCAGUUACAUGUACAAUCGUAAUUCAUAUGCUAUGACAUUGGAGUUAUAUGCCUUCCAUUAGAGAUAUUCACAAGAUUUUGUCAGAUAUACUAACUUUGAAAUGCAGUUACAUGUCAAAUUAACGUUUUACGGA